UACGUAGGGGGCAAGCGUUGUCCGGAAUCAUUGGGCGUAAAGCGCGUGUAGGCGGUCCGGUGAGUCCGCUGUGAAAGUCGGGGGCUCAACCCUCGGAUGCCGGUGGAUACUGUCGGGCUUGAGUACGGAAGAGGCGAGUGGAAUUCCUGGUGUAGCGGUGGAAUGCGCAGAUAUCAGGAGGAACACCAAUAGCGAAGGCAGCUCGCUGGGACGGUACUGACGCUAAGGCGCGAAAGCGUGGGGAGCGAACAGG
RNAcentral lists this ribosomal RNA (253 nucleotides) under uncultured bacterium. Its description in RNAcentral is "partial 16S ribosomal RNA". It matches the Rfam family "Bacterial small subunit ribosomal RNA", at positions 524 to 776 of the family's 1533-position model. The record is from RNAcentral.